AGAGUUUGAUCAUGGCUCAGGACGAACGCUGGCGGCGUGCUUAACACAUGCAAGUCAAGGGGGCCCAGCAAUGGGCAACCGGCGAACGGGUGCGUAACACGUGAGCAACCUACCGAACUGUGGGGGAUAGCCGGCCUAACGGCCGAGUAAUACCGCAUACGCUCUCAGAGAGGCAUUUUUUUGAGAGGAAACCUACGGGACAGAUCGAGGGGCUCGCGGCCUAUCAGCUAGUUGGCGAGGUAACGGCUCACCAAGGCAACGACGGGUAGCUGGUCUGAGAGGAUGGCCAGCCACAUUGGGACUGAGAUACGGCCCAGACUCCUACGGGAGGCAGCAGUGGGGAAUCUUGCGCAAUGGCCUAACGGCUGACGCAGCGACGCCGCGUGUGGGAUGAAGCUCCUCGGAGUGUAAACCACUGUUGCCCGGGACGAAUAGCUCGAUUAAUCGAGCCUGACGGUACCGGGUGAGGAAGCACCGGCUAACUCCGUGCCAGCAGCCGCGGUAAUACGGGGGGUGCGAGCGUUGUCCGGAAUCACUGGGCGUAAAGGGCGCGUAGGUGGUUUGAUAAGGGUGUGGUGAAAGUCCGGGGCUCAACCCCGGAUCUGCCGUGCCGACUGUCAAACUCGAGGACUGUAGAGGCAGGCGGAAUUCCGGGUGUAGCGGUGGAAUGCGUAGAGAUCCGGAGGAAGACCGGUGGCGAAGGCGGCCUGCUGGGCAGUUUCUGACACUGAUGCGCGACAGCGUGGGGAGCAAACAGGAUUAGAUACCCUCGUAGUCC
RNAcentral lists this ribosomal RNA (778 nucleotides) under uncultured bacterium. Its description in RNAcentral is "bacterial SSU rRNA". It matches the Rfam family "Bacterial small subunit ribosomal RNA", at positions 8 to 796 of the family's 1533-position model. The record is from RNAcentral.